RNAcentral lists this ribosomal RNA (621 nucleotides) under uncultured bacterium. RNAcentral describes it as "bacterial SSU rRNA". It matches the Rfam family "Bacterial small subunit ribosomal RNA", at positions 211 to 849 of the family's 1533-position model. The record is from RNAcentral.
CAAUCCGCUUUGAGAUGGCCUCGCGUCCGAUUAGCUAGUUGGUGAGGUAACGGCCCACCAAGGCGACGAUCGGUAGCCGGACUGAGAGGUUGAACGGCCACAUUGGGACUGAGACACGGCCCAGACUCCUACGGGAGGCAGCAGUGGGGAAUAUUGCACAAUGGGGGAAACCCUGAUGCAGCGACGCCGCGUGGAGGAAGAAGGUCUUCGGAUUGUAAACUCCUGUUGUUGAGGAAGAUAAUGACGGUACUCAACAAGGAAGUGACGGCUAACUACGUGCCAGCAGCCGCGGUAAAACGUAGGUCACAAGCGUUGUCCGGAAUUACUGGGUGUAAAGGGAGCGCAGGCGGGAAGACAAGUUGGAAGUGAAAUCCAUGGGCUCAACCCAUGAACUGCUUUCAAAACUGUUUUUCUUGAGUAGUGCAGAGGUAGGCGGGAUUCCCGGUGUAGCGGUGGAAUGCGUAGAUAUCGGGAGGAACACCAGUGGCGAAGGCGGCCUACUGGGCACCAACUGACGCUGAGGCUCGAAAGUGUGGGUAGCAAACAGGAUUAGAUACCCUGGUAGUCCACACUGUAAACGAUGAUUACUAGGUGUUGGAGGAUUGACCCCUUCAGUGCCGC